UACGGAGGGUGCAAGCGUUAUCCGGAUUCACUGGGUUUAAAGGGUGCGUAGGUGGGCAGGUAAGUCAGUGGUGAAAUCUCCGGGCUUAACUCGGAAACUGCCAUUGAUACUAUCUUUCUUGAAUACCGUGGAGGUCAGCGGAAUAUGUCAUGUAGCGGUGAAAUGCUUAGAUAUGACAUAGAACACCAAUUGCGAAGGCAGCUGGCUACACGAAUAUUGACACUGAUGCACGAAAGCGUGGGGAUCAAACAGGA
This 254-nucleotide ribosomal RNA is filed under the name uncultured bacterium. Its description in RNAcentral is "partial 16S ribosomal RNA". It matches the Rfam family "Bacterial small subunit ribosomal RNA", at positions 524 to 777 of the family's 1533-position model. The record is from RNAcentral.